GAGCAAUCCUGGCGGCGAGUGGCGAACGGGUGAGUAAUACAUCGGAACAUGUCCAGUAGUGGGGGAUAGCCCGGCGAAAGCCGGAUUAAUACCGCAUACGAUCUUUGGAUGAAAGCGGGGGAUCGCAAGACCUCGCGCUAUUGGGGUGGCCGAUGGCGGAUUAGCUAGUUGGUGGGGUAAAGGC
This 184-nucleotide ribosomal RNA is filed under the name Paraburkholderia nodosa. Its description in RNAcentral is "partial 16S ribosomal RNA". It matches the Rfam family "Bacterial small subunit ribosomal RNA", at positions 77 to 264 of the family's 1533-position model. Lineage: Bacteria; Pseudomonadati; Pseudomonadota; Betaproteobacteria; Burkholderiales; Burkholderiaceae. The record is from RNAcentral.